Molecule: unclassified non-coding RNA, 229 nt
Filed under: uncultured fungus
Lineage: Eukaryota; Fungi
Description: sequence contains ITS1
Source: RNAcentral
GUUACGUUUAUGGGCGGAACGGUGUCCGCUGAACAUUCUAUGAUACCAGAGUCUGUAAGACCGCGGCUUCGGACGGGCUCGCGCCACGCCCUCCACCGCGAAAGGUGCACAGUGGGUUUGUGGUUUUUUCCAGGGACGGAGACCCGCGUCACGACCGGAGCCGGAGCGAGGCCACCCGCACCCCGAAGGAGAUACGUUAAUGAUCCUUCCGCAGGUUCACCUACGGAAA